This 1149-nucleotide ribosomal RNA is filed under the name Triticum aestivum (bread wheat). RNAcentral's name for it is "partial small subunit ribosomal RNA". The record is from RNAcentral. Lineage: Eukaryota; Viridiplantae; Streptophyta; Magnoliopsida; Poales; Poaceae.
AUGCGCGGGGAGCGGCUGGGGAGCUGGGUGGUGUCCUACACCGGGAUGUCGGCCGACAACAUCAAGGGCCUGCUGCUCGCGGUCUCCUCCAGCCUCUUCAUCGGGGCCAGCUUCAUCGUCAAGAAGAAGGGCCUCAAGAAGGCCGGCGCCUCCGGCGUCCGCGCAGGUGUUGGUGGCUACUCUUACCUGCUUGAGCCACUGUGGUGGAUAGGACUGAUAACAAUGGUUGUUGGGGAAAUCGCUAACUUUGCUGCGUACGCUUUUGCCCCUGCUAUCUUGGUCACUCCACUUGGCGCACUUAGCAUAAUUAUUAGUGCUGUUCUUGCACGUAUCAUUUUGCGGGAGAAGCUGCACAUGUUUGGUGUACUCGGGUGUAUUCUUUGUGUUGUGGGUUCGACAACAAUUGUGCUACAUGCCCCUGCGGAACGUGAAAUUGAGUCUGUGGCAGAAGUAUGGGAUCUUGCUACCGAACCAGGAUUUCUACUUUAUGCAGCCAUUGUGCUCACAGCAGCUUUCGUGCUCAUAUUCCAUUUUGUCCCACAGUAUGGUCAGACACAUAUUAUGGUGUAUAUUGGUAUCUGUUCUCUUUUUGGGUCUCUGUCGGUCAUGAGUGUCAAAGCUCUUGGGAUAGCCUUGAAGCUGACGUUUUCAGGGAUGAAUCAGCUAGUCUAUCCACAAACAUGGUUCUUCACACUUGUUGUGGUUGCAUGCAUAGUAACACAGAUGAACUAUCUGAACAAGGCCCUUGACACAUUCAAUACUGCAGUUGUUUCGCCCAUUUAUUAUACAAUGUUUACUUCGUUGACCAUUUUGGCUAGUGUAAUAAUGUUCAAGGACUGGGAUCGUCAAAAUCCGACUCAAAUUGUCACGGAAAUGUGUGGUUUUGUUACUAUCCUUUCUGGGACGUUUCUGCUUCACAAGACAAAAGACAUGGUGGAUGGUCUCCAACAAAAUUUACCUAUCCGAAUUCCGAAACACGCGGACGAGGAUGCGUAUGAAUCUGAAGGAAUUCCUCUCAGGUCUGCUGCUGAUGGGAUUCCUCUCAGGUCACCCCGGGGCGCCGAAGGAAUUCCUCUCAGGUCUGCCGCGGAUGGCAUUCCGCUCAGGUCAUCAUCGAGGGGCGCAGAAUCGUUCCGCUCGACAUCAUGA